This 1268-nucleotide unclassified non-coding RNA is filed under the name Orbicella faveolata. RNAcentral describes it as "cUE domain-containing protein 2-B-like, transcript variant X2". Lineage: Eukaryota; Metazoa; Cnidaria; Anthozoa; Scleractinia; Merulinidae. The record is from RNAcentral.
GUCAUGUAUAACUGACUUCUAGUGUCCUCAUGUGUUUCUGAUGGACACUACAAUAUACCAUAUAUUCAGUACCAAGCCACAGUUUGUUUUGGCGGCAAAUAAAAUAAAAUGUUAUACUUUUUGAUUGUUCUACCGAUUGCCGCAUUCUAGAUGUACCUUCUAGAAUCGAGAGUGAUUACAAAACAACCAAAUUUACGAGCUACGUUUCAGUCUACAGGCUUUGUUUACCACAGUUCACUGUUCGUCGAUCAGUAUUUAGGUUUUUUAAGCUUGUAGGUCAUGAUGGUCGAGGCUGCUGUCAAGGACGAACUAGGACAGUUUUUAAGCAAGAACAUAUCUGCAGAAUCCUUAAGUUGUGUGGAUGAUAUCGUUCUUGGUUAUAUUGCAAGUGUCCUUGAAGAACUUGGAGAGGAUCAAGAAUUUGAUGUCGAUGAUUUUGCUGAAAUAAUGGCUGCCUACAUCCCAGGGUUUGAUACAGUCUCCAGGGAACAUGUUUAUAGUUGGAUGCUUGACUUGGCACAGAAACUGGGAAAGGCCAGAACAUCAAGUAAUCUAACUGAAGAAGCUGUUUUAAUGACAGAAGAAAAUUGCCACCGUUCACCAUCCAGUUUAGAGGGAGAUGUUUUACUAGGCAAUGAUGCUGUCAAAGAGGAUCAAACAGGGAAUUCAUUGGUUCUCUUAAGUUUGGAGAGACUUUGUAUAAAUAGCGAUUUUGAUGAAAGCGGUACGGUUACACUUUCAUUGAGUUCCAGAUACAACAACAAAGAAACUGGCGUUAAUGAGCAGAAUGUGGAGAGGGAAAGUACAGGAAAUAAUGGAAGUUACAGUGAAGAGGUAUUAGUGCUAGCAGAGAUGUUUCCAGAAGCCAGUUCAUUAGAAAUAAGGAACUGUCUGAUGGUUUCCAAUGGUGACAUUGAGUCUGCAGUGCAGCUGAUGCUCUUAAAGAAAGAGAACAUUGAUGAUGAAGGCAAGGAGAAUUAUCAUCGAGUUCUAGAUUUAUCUCCAAAGUUGCAGACUGUUGUAAACCGUGGAACUAAAUGCUACAUGUAUGCGAGGGAAUUCAGUAGCAUUUUCAACAAGAGGGAAACUGGUUUUCACAGGUUCACUGUCCAAGUUCAAAAAGACAGGAGCUGCAGGAAGCGGAACAGCAAAGUCUCAAAGAACAAAUGAUGGCAAGAUAUGGGUAUGUUGAAGUCAGCCAAGAAGAAAAAACGCAUCAACCAACGCUUCGCGAACAGGGAGAAAAGAAACUGGUUCGAUAUCGCAAC